RNAcentral lists this ribosomal RNA (253 nucleotides) under uncultured bacterium. RNAcentral describes it as "partial 16S ribosomal RNA". It matches the Rfam family "Bacterial small subunit ribosomal RNA", at positions 524 to 776 of the family's 1533-position model. The record is from RNAcentral.
UACGUAGGGUGCGAGCGUUCAUCGGAAUUACUGGGCGUAAAGCGUGCGCAGGCGGUUUUGUAAGACAGAGGGUAAAUCCCCGGGCUUAACCUGGGAACUGCCUUUGUGACUGCAAGGCUUGAGUGCGGCAGAGGGGGAUGGAAUUCCGCGUGUAGCAGUGAAAUGCGUAGAUAUGCGGAGGAACACCGAUGGCGAAGGCAAUCCCCUGGACCUGUACUGACGCUCAUGCACGAAAGCGUGGGGAGCAAACAGG